RNAcentral lists this ribosomal RNA (478 nucleotides) under uncultured bacterium. Its description in RNAcentral is "partial 16S ribosomal RNA". It matches the Rfam family "Bacterial small subunit ribosomal RNA", at positions 355 to 825 of the family's 1533-position model. The record is from RNAcentral.
UAGGGAAUCUUCCACAAUGGACGCAAGUCUGAUGGAGCAACGGCCGCGUGAGUGAAGAAGGUUUUCGGACCGUAAAGCUCUGUUGUUGGUGAAGAAGGAUAGAGGUAGUAACUGGCCUUUAUUUGACGGUAAUCAACCAGAAAGUCACGGCUAACUACGUGCCAGCAGCCGCGGUAAUACGUAGGUGGCAAGCGUUGUCCGGAUUUAUUGGGCGUAAAGCGAGCGCAGGCGGAAGAAUAAGUCUGAUGUGAAAGCCCUCGGCUUAACCGAGGAAUUGCAUCGGAAACUGUUUUCUUGAGUGCAGAAGAGGAGAGUAGAACUCCAUGUGUAGCGGUGGAAUGCGUAGAUAUAUGGAAGAAUACCAGUGGCGAAGGCGGCUCUCUGGUCUGCAACUGACGCUGAGGCUCGAAAGCAUGGGUAGCGAACAGGAUUAGAUACCCUGGUAGUCCAUGCCGUAAACGAUGAGUGCUAAGUGUUG